AUGGUUGUCGUCAGCUCGUGUCGUGAGAUGUUGGGUUAAGUCCCGCAACGAGCGCAACCCUUAAGCUUAGUUGCCAUCAUUAAGUUGGGCACUCUAAGUUGACUGCCGGUGACAAACCGGAGGAAGGUGGGGAUGACGUCAAAUCAUCAUGCCCCUUAUGAUUUGGGCUACACACGUGCUACAAUGGACAAUACAAAGGGCAGCGAAACCGCGAGGUCAAGCAAAUCCCAUAAAGUUGUUCUCAGUUCGGAUUGUAGUCUGCAACUCGACUACAUGAAGCUGGAAUCGCUAGUAAUCGUAGAUCAGCAUGCUACGGUGAAUACGUUCCCGGGUCUUGUACACACCGCCCGUCACACCACGAGAGUUUGUAACACCCGAAGCCGGUGGAGUAACCUUUUAGGAGCUAGCCGUCGAAGGUGGGACAAAUGAUUGGGGUGAAGUCGUAACAAGGUAGCCGUAUCGGAAGGUGCGGCUGGAUCACCUCCUUU
RNAcentral lists this ribosomal RNA (488 nucleotides) under Staphylococcus aureus. RNAcentral describes it as "bacterial SSU rRNA". It matches the Rfam family "Bacterial small subunit ribosomal RNA", at positions 1045 to 1533 of the family's 1533-position model. Lineage: Bacteria; Bacillati; Bacillota; Bacilli; Caryophanales; Staphylococcaceae. The record is from RNAcentral.